Molecule: long non-coding RNA, 302 nt
Organism: Oncorhynchus tshawytscha (Chinook salmon)
Lineage: Eukaryota; Metazoa; Chordata; Actinopteri; Salmoniformes; Salmonidae
Source: Ensembl
GUGGCUGGGUGAGGGAGGGAGAGGGAAGGGGGAGGCUGGGUGAGGCUGGGUGAGGGAGGGAGAGGGAAGGGGGAGGCUGGGGGAGGCUGGGUGAGGCUGGGUGAGGCUGGGUGAGGCUGGGUGAGGGAGGGAGAGGGAAGGGGGAGGCUGGCUGAGGCUGGGUGAGGGAGGGAGAGGGAAGGGGGAGGCUGGGUGAGGCUGGGUGAGGGAAGGGGGAGGCUGGGUGAGACUGGUUUAGGCUGGGUGAGGGAAGGGUGAGGCUGGGUGAGUCUCAUUAGGUCAUUAGUUUAGGCUGGGUGAGG